GUAUGGCCCAGUCUAUCGUCGGGCGCUCCACACUCGUGUUAUCGAUGUCACUUGUGUAUCGCGUACAUAUCUCCUAGUGAAGUAACAGAUGAAUGGAUAUAAUAGUACUAGUACUACUGAGUGUGUGUGGUCAGGUAGUGUCUGUGACACUGCGACAGUGUCCGGACUCGUCUGUGUGGAGCGUUGACUUGCACGACUGUGUGCCUUGUAAGGAACUAUGUGGACGUGGGAGUAAAAAAAGAUACAGCCAGUUCACCUCAGAAGUCCCAACAAUUCCGUCGACAUGGAAACGGCAGACAUAAACGCGAUGAUUAUGAUUGUGGCGACUUCAACUACUACGACCCCGCCAUACACGGAUGUACGCCGUGUGACCACCUGUGUGACUACCACGAACACCAAGGAACUACAAAGCGUUGCAUGGAGAAAUGUCCAGAUUACUAUGUAAAGGAUGGGACCUACGGCCAGUUCACAAGAAGAGAGGUCUACAAAGGAUACGAGUCCUGAUGAUUCCAAAGGAGACGCUACCUUGACUGUAGUAUUGAUUAUAUUUGCGAUAGUGUUUGUCCUGUGUACUGGCGUUAUGGUUUGGAAACGGAAUCAGAUUUGGCAGUUCCUGGAGAGACAGUGUACAACCGAUGAGGAGAAAACCUCGGUGCCAUGCUGCCAGGAACAGGGAAUCUGCGAGUCUGCCAAUUCCAAAGUGACCCCUUUGACCCACUCCCUAGGACCAAUAUGCCAGCCAGUUACAGAAACUCGCCACGAGAACAAAGCAGACCAGUACCUAUACACAGAGACGUUUGCUGAGAUUGACCUACGGUAUGCUGUAUUGGAUGAACCGUUCUCACAGACCACAACACCAUCCCUAAACAAACCUGUUCCACGGAUCACCCCAGUCAGACUGCCUCCAUCUAUCACCCAACCAUCCCUAAACAAACCUGUUGCACGGAUCACCUCAGUCAGACCCUCUCCAACUAUCAACCACCCCAACGCAAACCGUAUCUGCUGAUGGCACCAACCUGACAACCUACCCCAGUCACUCCACAAUCCCCAAAGUUGUUGAUACUGAUAGUGAUGAUACACACUCGUGAGGAGGAAAGUGACGAAGGCACCUGUUAACA
This 1118-nucleotide unclassified non-coding RNA is filed under the name Haliotis rubra (blacklip abalone). RNAcentral describes it as "uncharacterized LOC124259265, transcript variant X4". Lineage: Eukaryota; Metazoa; Mollusca; Gastropoda; Lepetellida; Haliotidae. The record is from RNAcentral.